This 937-nucleotide ribosomal RNA is filed under the name Salmonella enterica. Its description in RNAcentral is "partial 23S ribosomal RNA". It matches the Rfam family "Bacterial large subunit ribosomal RNA", at positions 1 to 878 of the family's 2925-position model. The record is from RNAcentral. Lineage: Bacteria; Pseudomonadati; Pseudomonadota; Gammaproteobacteria; Enterobacterales; Enterobacteriaceae.
GGUUAAGCGACUAAGCGUACACGGUGGAUGCCCUGGCAGUCAGAGGCGAUGAAGGGCGUGCUAAUCUGCGAUAAGCGCCGGUAAGGUGAUAUGAACCGUUAUAACCGGCGAUACCCGAAUGGGGAAACCCAGUGUGACUCGUCACACUAUCAUUAACUGAAUCCAUAGGUUAAUGAGGCGAACCGGGGGAACUGAAACAUCUAAGUACCCCGAGGAAAAGAAAUCAACCGAGAUUCCCCCAGUAGCGGCGAGCGAACGGGGAGGAGCCAAGAGCCUGAAUCAGCAUGUGUGUUAGUGGAAGCGUCUGGAAAGGCGCGCGAUACAGGGUGACAGCCCCGUACACAAAAGCGCAUGUGCUGUGAGCUCGAUGAGUAGGGCGGGACACGUGGUAUCCUGUCUGAAUAUGGGGGGACCAUCCUCCAAGGCUAAAUACUCCUGACUGACCGAUAGUGAACCAGUACCGUGAGGGAAAGGCGAAAAGAACCCCGGCGAGGGGAGUGAAAAAGAACCUGAAACCGUGUACGUACAAGCAGUGGGAGCCCCACCACCAAAGCAUUCUCUGGUGUUGAAGGCCCUGCAAAGCAGCAUCGCGGUGGCGGAGCGUCGUUUGCGACGCCCAACACAAAAAACAAGCGGUGAGUGCUUUGGGGUGGGGUGACUGCGUACCUUUUGUAUAAUGGGUCAGCGACUUAUAUUCUGUAGCAAGGUUAACCGUAUAGGGGAGCCGUAGGGAAACCGAGUCUUAACCGGGCGUUAAGUUGCAGGGUAUAGACCCGAAACCCGGUGAUCUAGCCAUGGGCAGGUUGAAGGUUGGGUAACACUAACUGGAGGACCGAACCGACUAAUGUUGAAAAAUUAGCGGAUGACCUGUGGCUGGGGGUGAAAGGCCAAUCAAACCGGGAGAUAGCUGGUUCUCCCCGAAAGCUAUUUAGGUAGC